This is a non-coding RNA of Pelobates cultripes (western spadefoot toad), 7393 nucleotides long. The record is from the annotation of a GenBank genome assembly. NCBI's taxonomy places the organism in Eukaryota, Metazoa, Chordata, Amphibia, Anura, Pelobatidae.
CCUGGAGGCGAGCAUCAGAGGUGGGAGUACGGACAGAGGAUAGACGUAGGUCUUUGGCAUAAUGCCUUUAGUUUUACAUUACAAUUCAUGGCAACUGUAGUUUAUAAACAACUCCACAAAAAAAGUGUUUGCAAUUCCAAUUAUUCUUGGUUAGCUCUUUACCAUAAGGUUAGGCUGACCAUUGUGGAAAAAUCAAACUAACAAACAUCAAGAGUGUCUAAAGUUAGAAGAUGGUUGUGAACUAAAUUUCCAAUUAUGCACAGGGAUUGCAAGUCACUAUCAACUUCAGUGCUGGGAUUUUGUGAACGUUUGUUCAUCACAUUUCUCAUGAUACUCAGCAAAUUCUUAGGGUGGCUCUUAAAUAUUUGCAAUGUUUAAUGUGAGCCUAUUAGCUAACAAAUUCAUGAGUUAAAAUUCAUGCGACAUUCAUAUGCAGUGCCUUAUACAGCGAGGGGAAAAAAGUAUUUGAUCCCCUGCUGAUUUUGAAUGUUUGCCCACUGACAAAGAAAUGAUCAGUCUAUAAUUUUAAUGGUAGGUGUAUUUUAACAGUGAGAGACAGAAUAACAAAAAAAAUCCAGAAAAACGCAUGUCAAAAAAAGUUAUAAAUUGAUUUGCAUGUCAAUUAGUGAAAUAAGUAUUUAAUUCCCUAUCAAUCAGCAAGAUUUCUGGCAACCAGGUGUCUUUUAUACAGGUAACAAGCAGAGAUUUGGAGCACUCUCUUAUACACCUACCAUUAAAGUUAUAGACUGAUCAUUUCUUUGUCAUUGGGCAAACAUUAAAAGUCAGCAGUGGAUCAAAUACUUUUUCCCCUCACUGUAUAUGAAGAUCAUCUGCAGCAGAUAAAUGAAAACUGUUUCCUGUGAUGCCCUGAGAGUGUGGCUGGGUAUCAUUGAAAAUAUAUUCUGCAUUUUGUCAUACUCUGUCAGUUUCCCACUUGUAUAAGAACUAUAAAACAAAAAAAAAGUCUAUUUUUUCAGGGGUAUUCACUAACACCAGAUUUUGUUCAGAUGGACAAAUCCAGUGAAUCUGACUGAAUUCUGGCUGCAAUGGCAAUUCCAGGUGCAUACCUAGAGCAUUUGGAACCUGGGGCGGAUCCUGAGACUGGCACCUCCUCCCCCACACCACCACACACACACUUUAAAAUACAAAGAAUUUUUUUUUUUUUAACAUUUUCAAGAAUAUUUAUUGCACAAAAAUGUAAACCUGCACAAAAUACCUACCUCCCUUCUAAAAAACAACAACCUGCACUUCUCUUUCACAAAAAACCCUGCCCAACUCCCUUUCACAAAAAAACACUGUCCCCCACUUACACAAUAUACCUGUCCCCCUCUUCUAAAAAAACCCUGCCCCUCUACAAAAUCUUUCCAGCCCCCCUUUUACAAAACCCGUGCACCUCUGUUAUGGGCAAAUGAAAAUAUUGUAUUUCUCAAACUGUGUACUUUGUCUUUAAGAAAUAUUGCAAACUGACAAGGUGUUAGAAAUGGAACAUAUUGUUUUUCAUAUAUGUUUCUUUAAGCAAUAACCUUUUACCUACUUUUAGCACAUAAUAUGUUUACGCCAUUUUGUCCCAGAUUAAAUGCAAUAACAAUAAUACAUAAACAAGCUUCAAGGCUAUGCUAGAACUCUUUCAGUACAUAAUAUACUGCGGUAACCCUAAAUAGAUAAAGAUGUUCUGACUUUAAGAUGCCAUCCUAAGUCAGGGAAUUUCCCAUGAUGUGUGCACCCUUAUGUUUUAGUUAUGGCCUUGUAAUUUUGCCAGGUUAAGGGAGGUCCCUAGAAUGCACAAAAACAAAAGAAGUGUUACUUUUACAUAUAUAAACUCGGGUAAUGAAGACACCUAAGGUAUAAAUAGGUGUACUUUUAAAUAUUAGAGAACAGAGAGGAGAGAUUUGGAGACAGACGCUGCUCCAUAAUAUAAUGAGUGAGAGAGGCUGACAUGUUGACAUGUUCAGGAGGGUAUGUUAUUCUAGUUUAAUGAUAUUGCAAGCAUAUAGUUUAAUCUCAUAAACUCUGCUAUAAAUUAUUGUAAUAGAUUUUAUUUGUAUAUAUUUAUAUUUUUAUAUAAUAAAUAUCUAAAAAGACAAAACUUUAUUGCUUACAAGACAAUCCUUAUUUUAUACUGUAUUCUCAAUUAUUUAUAUAUUUUAAAUAGAGGAUCUCUUACUGACUAAAUAAAAUUAUUGCUAAGAUAUCUGUAUGGUUAGCAGUGCUAAGUUCUAUGCUUUAAAACAUUAUAGUGGUAAAUAGGGGAACCAGCUGCGGUUAAACCUCUCCUUCACAAAAAAAACCUGCCCCCACAUUCUUAACAAAGAUUUUAAAGCCCCAUUCUUCACACAAAACCCUGCCCCACCUUCUUCAAAAAAUGACCACCUUAUUCACAAAAACCCCAUGUACCCGUCUUCUUCACAAAAAAAGCAUCCAGCAUCAGGGAUUUUCCACCACGGUGCCUCACAUAGCAGCAAAGCGUAUCCUUUCGCUACUGCUCAAAAUACAAGCAGAGUACGUCAAUGUCACGUUGGCAUGUCGUAACAAAAUCAAAUAGCACACUGACCGCAGUCCACUCUUUCAAAUACCUGGGUAUGUUGUUAGAUCCCAAUCUAUCUUUUGGCAUCCACAUAGAAAAAAUUGCAUUUAAACCAUUCCAAAACUAGGUGCCCAGUACAGAAACAAAUCCUGCCUAAGUCCUACAGUAAAGGAAAAGAUUGUACAGCAAAUGCUGAUGCCAAUCAUUGGUGCUCCUCCUACCUCACCCAGGGCUCUUUCAGUGUUUCUUUCUCUGGCUCUGCUUCUUCCUCCCAACCUCUCUCUUUUGGUGUCCCCCUUGGUCCCCUACUGUUCUCAAUCUAUACUGCCUCCCUUGGUAAACUCAUCAGCUCCUUUGGCUUCCAAUAUCACUUCUAUGUGGAUGACAAGUAAAUCUAUCUGUCCUCCCCUGAUCUCUCCCAGCCCCUCUUGACUAGUGUCUCUGACUGCCUCUCUGCUAUUUCUAACUGGAUGGCUGACCACUUCCUUGAGCUCAACUUGUCCAAAACAGAACUUCUGGUCUUUCCUUCCUCAAGUGUUGCUAACCUUGUUUCUGUCUCCCUCCACGUUAAUGGUGCUACCAUCAGCUCCACCAUGCAGGCUCCCUGCCUAGGUGUUCUCUUUGACUCCAACCAUUCCUUCACCCCUCAUGUCCAGACGAUUGCCAAAUCCUGCCACAUCCAUCUUAAAAACAUUGUGCGAAUCCGCUACUUACCGCCAGAUGCGGCUAAGGUGCUGGUCCAUGCCACUGUCCUCUCUCGCCUUGACUACUGCAAUCCGCUUCUCAGUGGUCCUACAUGUUUCCAACUUGCCCCACUGCAGUCUAUAAUGAAUGUGGUGGUGAGGCUCAUCUUCCUGUACGCCCGCACCUCCCACGCCUCACCCCUCUGUCAGUCCCUACAUUGGCUUCCCGUAAGAUAUAGGGCUCAAUAUGAAAUUCAGGUUCUCCUACUUAUCUAUCCAACCUAAUACACAAAUAUGUCCCUUCUAGGCCCCUAUGCCCUGCCAAAGACCUGCGUUUAUCCUCUGUUCGUACUCCCACCUCUGAUGCUCGCCUUCAAGACUUCUUUAUGACUCCACUCCUUCAAAAAACAUUAAAAACUCACUUUUUCACAAAAGCAUGUCAAUUAAACUGUCCUCUCUACAUGUCAUGUAGACACAGAAUGCACCUGUCAUGGUUCAUUAGAUAUGUCUUACCAGUUCUAUGUUAUAUUUUGUAUAUAUUGUGUAUUAAUAUUGUUUUUGUAUUUUAUUGUACUCUAUUGUAUCAAUGCAAUGUUUUGUGAACCCAGGAAAUAAUUGAAAAUGAGAGAAAUCUCAAUGUAUCCUUCCUGGUAAAAUAUUUUAUAAAUAAAUAAAUAACACAAAAAUCUACAUCCUCAUAUAAAUACCAACACUAGAUACACCACUGCAUUCAAACAUAUUCCUGUAUUUAAACACAAACAACUACACACAAGUACACAACUGCAUUCCAAUGGAAACAGUACAUACAAAUACACCCAUACAUACCCAUACACCCAGUACAUACAUGCAUAGACAUACGCUAUACAAAAGCAUGACUACAUUUAAAUGCACAAACACUGCUCACAAAUACAAUUUUACAAGAAUAGGUAAAUGGUAGAUCCCUGGCUGGCAUAGCAUUGUUGGAGUUGUACAACAGAUGGGCAUCUAUCUUUUCACCACUCUUGCACUAGAGGGAGGCCCAAAAAAUGUUCUUGCACCAGGGCCCACUCCUGUUUUAGUUCCGCCACUGAGUAGGACAGUAGGGCGGCAUCAAAGGAUCCCAGGCACCGUAUCCACUUCAGUGAGACAAAGUUAAUAUGGUUUGUGUAUAUAUAUACAAACUCAACUAGUAUAAUUUUUUAUUCUCCUUCCAUUCUAUUGGUCACCUAGGGGAUAAUUCUGCAUACUACUGCAUACUAACGACAGUAGUAAUGAGGCACCUGUAAGCUAGGAAGGAAUACUGAAAUAAAGGGGAGUAAAGUUACGCAAACAAUCGAUCUGUAAAGCUAGAUAAAAAGACAUCUCGAAUUUAGAUUAUUUUCAAAUUGCUAUUCUACUCUGAAUAAUGCUUCACUUAAUUGUCAGCUAGGAAAUAGAUAACAUUUGCUCUGCUUAAUAUUAGCCAUAUAUACAUAUAUUUGUUGAUUUGUUUGCACCAUAAAGAACCGUGGUUAUAUCAUUGCAUUGUGCCCAUUGCAUGCACACAGGGACUGCAAGAGAGAGAUGAACGAAUCCGAAAGCUGCGUGAAGAAAAUCUUGGGCUUGAGAAAGCAUUACGAGAACAGACCGACGAAAAGACAGCACAACUGGAGGAGCUAAAAGGGAAGCUGCAAAGACAGAUUGCGAGGAAGGACAAAGUCGAAUUGCUCCUUGAAGAGAGAGAAUCUGAACUGGAAGAUGUGAGGAAGGCUUACAGGUGAUUAACCGGCCUCUAGAGCAGAGGUUUUAGCAAAUAGAGCUUGUGCUGUUUGAAGUUGAAUCUCGGCUAAUUUGAGGCAUUUACUCUUUCUAUUCUUAGUGCAAUGAAUAUGAAGUGGCAGGAUAAAGCGGAAUUACUAAACCAGCUUGAAACGCAAGUCAGGAAGAUGAAAGAGAAUUUUGAUGCCAAGGAAAAUAAGUUGAUUGAAGAGAGAGACAAAAGCAUCCAAACUCAGCAAGUAAAAGCUCAAUUUGUUUUAAGAAACUUUUAUUUUCUAUCCCACCCUUCUCCUCUUUAUCGCAUUUAUAUCUGCCAAACCAGCGUUUAUAAGAGUAUUCCCUUACUUUAACACUUGCACUAUGUACAUGCAUUAUCGUGUGUGUGUAUGUUUAAAACUUGUGCCCUUUCCCCCCUCCCCCAAAAAAGUAUACUAAAACAGAAACAAUGGUGCUGUUCUAAAUAGACUAGUAAAUUCUUAUUGAAGAGAGUCAGGGACAAGAUGCAGUUCUCAUACGAGUGGAAAUAUGCCUUCUAAUGGAAAAACACAGAUGGUCAAGAAGAUAUUAAGGUAAUACUAUUUAAACAGUUUUAUUGCUAAGACCAUUAAAACACAUACAUGUAGUAAUUAGAUAUAUCAGAUAAAUUUAUUUUAGCAUGCUCAGUAUUCCAUGCUAGGUUGACUCCUUGCAGGUAUUGGGAUAUGUUUAGCUGUUCCUGUUCAUCAGGAUGCAAAUCUUCUUUCUAUUGUUUAAGUCUUCUCUGUGAAAAUCUCUUUGCAAUUAAAUAGUCAGGAUGUUUGAAGUUGUAGUACAUAAUCCAUGCAAAGUCCAUUUCUAGAAAUUCCAAUCGGAUAUCUGAUCUAUGUUUAAUGUGUAUUGAUUUAAUUUACACCUGAGUAAAGACAUUGACAUUUCUCAUAAUAAACCAUAAUAUCCAAUGUAUCUUGUUCAGUUCUAGAGAGUAUAAAACAUAUUCACUAAACUAAGAAUUGAAAGGAAUUCAAAUUAUAUUUUAAUUUUAAGACAAAACUAGCCAAACAGAAAGCAGAAUUGACUUGGAGAAUUUGCCUAUCUUUGCCUAUCUGAAUUUUGAAAUGCCCUUUGGAAUUCUUGGCAAUUUUCAGUUUUUAAAAUUAUCAAAUUAAAGCAGAUUGUCACUGACCAUUGUAUGAGUGUCCGCUUGUUAGUGAAUUAUAUAAUUUUGCAAGCAUAAGACUAUUUUACUUUGUUAGGUAAAUCAAAAUUGGAGUGCGCUUUUAGCCCUUUCCAAAUAUAUUUUAUUUUCUAUGUUUUUAGUUAAACAAAAAAUUGCAAACAGUAGAUAUAGAAAACUGAAUUGGAAAAACUGGUCUGAAAUAGCAAUGUUAAGAAAGAAGAGCUUCCAUGGUUCGGAUUUGUUCCAGCACAUCAAACAGACUCUCAAAUGGAUAGGGAUCUGGGGAAUUUGGAGGCCAAGGCAACACCUUUAACUCUUUGUCAUGUUCCUAAAACCAUUCCUGAACUCUUUUUGUAGUGUGGCAAGAUGACUUUUCCUGCAGAAAGCAACCACUGCUACCUGGGAAUACCAUUGACAUGAUUGGUGCACGUGGUCUCCAACAAUUUCUUGGUAGGUGGUCUGUGUGAAAAGAACAUUGCCCAAAAGGUAGAUCCCCAGAUGUUGUAGAACCACAACUCCCAUAAUGCUUUGCAUGUCUUUAGAAUGGCAAAAAAUCAUGGAAGCUGUAUUUUUAAAACAUUUAGGGAUCUGCCUUUAGGGCACCCCUGGCCUGGAGGAUAACACUGCCUUGUUCAUAGUGCACUCUGCUUCCAUCUUUUCCCCAGGUAAACAACACACACAUCUGGCCAUACAACUUAUCUAAAAGAAAACGUGAUUUGUCAGACCAGGCAACCUUCUUCCAUUGCUCAAUGAUCUAGUUCUGAUGCUCACGUCCCCAAAGACGGUACUUUAACCCCUUAAGGACCAAACUUCUGGAAUAAAAGGGAAUCAUGACAUGUCACACAUGUCAUGUGUCCUUAAGGGGUUAAAGGUGGACAGGAGUCAUCCAGGGCACUCAGACUGGUCUGCGACUACGCAGCACCACAUGCAGCAAACUGUGAUUCACUGUGUGUUCUGACACCUUUCUAUCAUGGCCAGCUUUAUGGUUUUAAGCAAUUUUAGCUACAGUAGCUCUUCUAUGUAAUUGAACUAAUGGGCUAGCCUCCACUCACCACGUACAUCAAUAACCCUGAUGCCAGUUCACCACUUGUCCUUCCUUGCAUCACUUUUGGUAGGUACCAGGAACACCUCACAAGACAUGUUAUUUUGGAGAUGGAAGGGAUCCUGCUUUCAGUACAUGAAAUAAGAGAACUGACUGUUAACUUGCUGCCUGAUAUAUCACACCCCUUGAACAGGUGCCUUGGUAACAAUAUAAUCAGUUAUUCACUUCACCUGUCAGUGGUUUUAAUGUUG